CCUACGGUGCGCAGCAGUGAGGAAUAUUGGUCAAUGGGCGUAAGCCUGAACCAGCCAAGUCGCGUGAGGGAUGAAGGUUCUAUGGAUCGUAAACCUCUUUUAUAAGGGAAUAAAGUGUGGGACGUGUCCUGUUUUGUAUGUACCUUAUGAAUAAGGAUCGGCUAACUCCGUGCCCGCAGCCGCGGUAAAACGGAGGAGCAGAGCGUUAGCCGGAUUUAUUGGGUUUAAAGGGUGCGUAGGUGGCCUUUUAAGUCAGCGGUGAAAGUUUGUGGCUCAACCAUAGAAUUGCCGUUGAAACUGGGAGUCUUGAGUAUGUUGGAGGCAGGCGGUAUGCGUGGUGUAGCGGUGAAAUGCUUAGAUAUCACGCAGAACCCCGAUUGCGAAGGCAGCCUGCCAAGCCAUGACUGACGCUGAUGCACGAAAGCGUGGGGAUCAAACAGGAUUAGAUACCCGUGUAGUC
RNAcentral lists this ribosomal RNA (460 nucleotides) under uncultured bacterium. Its description in RNAcentral is "partial 16S ribosomal RNA". It matches the Rfam family "Bacterial small subunit ribosomal RNA", at positions 338 to 795 of the family's 1533-position model. The record is from RNAcentral.